CACACAUGAUAAAAAUACAUACGGAGUGUAUUUGCACACCCCGGAGCCCACAGCGGUCCCAUUCACUGUGACAACUGUCACCAUGGAGACACUGGAAUUCCCCUCCAGUGACCACGGUACACAUCCCACCUGUGCAGUGUGAUAAGCAACACCCUCAUACUCUCUUCUACUGUACACACACACUCACCACACACCCCUGGGUCACGGAGUACAUCAGCAGAACCAGAAACCCACACAGAACUGUUCUGAUCUGCAGGGUCAGACAGUCAGGGGAGCACUGAGAAGACAGAGAGGAGAGAGGAGUCAGUAAACCUGCUGAGCAAAAGCACACAGAGACUAGAGUUUCACAUUUGAUGAAAAAAAUCACAGUAGUGUCUGCCUGUGCAAAACUCACCUCCACGAUGCUAGAGUGCUGUGGGUGCUUGCUAGGUGGUGCUAGGGUGUCUCUGAUGGUUGUUUGGUGGAACUAGGGAGGUUGCUAAGGUGUUGCUAUGUGGCUGCUAAGGUGUCCUAAAAGUAGUUGUUGUUUGCUAAUGGCAGAGUGCUCUGGGUCGUUGCUAGUUGGUGUCAGGGAGUUCUGUGUGGUUGCCAAGAUGUUCUAGAUGGUUGCUAUGUGGUAAUAGGGUGUCUGUGAUGGUUGUUAGGUGGUACUAGGGUGCUCUGGGAGGUUGCUAUGUGGCUGCUUAGGUGUCCUGAGUAGUUGUUAGGUGAUGGCAUGGUGCUCUGGGUCAUUGCUAGGUGGUGCCAGGGAGUUCUGAGUGGUUGCUAAGAUGUUCUAAAUGGUUGCUAGGCAGUGCUAGGGUGUCUCUGAUGGUUGUUAGGUGGUAGUAGGGUGCUCUGGGAGGUUGCUAAGGUGUUGCUAUAUGGCUGCUAAGGCGUCCUGAGUUUUUGUUAGGUGAUGGCAGGGUGCUGUGGGUGGUUGCUAUGCUGUGCCAGGGAUAUUUGAGAUAGUUACUAGGAUGUUCUAGAUGGCUGCUAGGUGGUGCUAGGCUGUCUCUGAUGGUUGUUAGGUGGUAAUAGGGUGCUCUGGGAGAUUGAUAUGGUGUUGCUAUGUAGCUGCUAAGGUGUCAUGAGUAGUUGUUAGGUGAUAUGAGGGUGUUCUGGGUCAUUGCUAGGUGGUGCCAGUGAGUUCUGAGUGGUUGCUAGGAUGUUCUAGAUGGUUGCUAGGCGGUGCUAGGUUGUCUCUGAUAGUUGUUAGGUGGUACUAGGGUGCUCUGGGAGGUUGCUAAGGUAGUACUAUGUAGCUGCUAAGGUGUCAUGAGUAGUUGCUAAGUGAUGGCAAGAUGCUCUAAGUGGUUGCUAGGUGAUGCCAGGGAGUUCUGAGUGGUUGCUAGGAUGUUCUAGAUGGUUGGUAGGCGGUGCUAGGGUGUCUCUGAUAGUUGUUAGGCGGUACUAGGGUGCUCUGGGAGGUUGCUAAGGUGUUACUAUGUAGCUGCUAAGGUGUCAUGAGUAGUUGCUAAGUGAUGGCAAGAUGCUCUAAGUGGUUGCUAGGUGAUGCCAGGGAGUUCUGAGUGGUUGCUAGGAUGUUCUAGAUGGUUGCUAGGCGGUGCUAGGGUGUCUCUGAUAGUUGUUAGGUGGUACUAGGGUGCUCUGGGAGGUUGCUAAGGUGUUACUAUGUAGCUGCUAAGGUGUCAUGAGUAGUUGCUAAGUGAUGGCAAGAUGCUCUAAGUGGUUGCUAGGUGGUGCCAGGGAGUUCUGAAUGGUUGCUAGGAUGUUCUAGAUGGUUGCUAGGUGGUGCUAGGGUGUCUCUGAUAGUUGUUAGGUGGUACUAGGGUGCUCUGGGAGGUUGCUAAGGUGUUACUAUGUAGCUGCUAAGGUGUCAUGAGUAGUUGCUAAAUGAUGGCAAGAUGCUCUAAGUGGUUGCUAGGUGAUGCCAGGGAGUUCUGAGUGGUUGCUAGGAUGUUCUAGAUGGCUGCUAGGCGGUGCUAGGGUGUCUCUGAUAGUUGUUAGGCGGUACUAGGGUGCUCUGGGAGGUUGCUAAGGUGUUACUAUGUAGCUGCUAAGGUGUCAUGAGUAGUUGCUAAGUCAUGGCAAGAUGCUCUAAGUGGUUGCUAGGUGGUGCCAGGGAGUUCUGAGUGGUUGCUAGGAUGUUCUAGAUGGUUGCUAGGCGGUGCUAGGGUGUCUCUGAUAGGUGUUAGGUGGUACUAGGGUGCUCUGGGAGGUUGCUAAGGUGUUGCUAUGUAGCUGUUAAGGUGUCAUGAGUAGUUGUUAUGUGAUAUGAGGGUGUUCUGGGUCAUUGCUAGGUGGUGCCAGUGUGUUCUGGCCGGUUGCUAGAGUGUUUUAAUGGUGCUCUGGAUGGUUGUUAGGUGGUUUCAGGGUGUUAUGGAUGGUUGGGUAGGGCAUUGUUAAGGUGUUCUGGGUGAUUGCUAGGGUGUUGUUAGGAUGGUUGCUAGGUGGUACUAGGGUGCUCCAGAUGGUUGUUAGGGUGUUGCUCUGUGGUUGCUACAAAGUUGCUUCAAUGUUGUUCUGCAUGGUUGCUAAGUGGUACUAGGGUGUCUCUGACGGUUGUUAGGUGGUACUAGGAUGUUAUGGGUGGUUGCUAAGGUAUUUGUAGGGUGUUCUGGGUGGUUGUUAGGUGGUGCUAGGGUGCGCUGGUUGGAUGCAAGGGUAUUUGUAGGAUAUGCGUAGGGUACGUGUGAGUGUGUGUGUGUGUGUGUGUGUGUGUGUGUUUUUACCUGCACAUGAGUGAUGUGAAGGUACAUCACACUUGCCAUGUGGAAACACAAACAGAGAACCAGAAGAAUCACAACCAGAAGACCUCUGCAGCAAGAGAGAGAGAGAGAGAGAGAGGGAAAUAGAGGGGUUUUCCACAUGUUAUAUGGAUGUGUGUUGUGUGAUGCAGUGACCUGAGCAAGUAAAAUAUGUGCUCAAUUUAGUGUGUCUGGCAAAUAAAAAAAGGUGUGUUAUGUUGUUGUGUCAGG
Long non-coding RNA from Megalobrama amblycephala (Wuchang bream), 2921 nucleotides. RefSeq lists it as uncharacterized. The record is from RefSeq and is a predicted model, not a curated record. Lineage: Eukaryota; Metazoa; Chordata; Actinopteri; Cypriniformes; Xenocyprididae. The transcript is spliced from 2 exons.